RNAcentral lists this transfer RNA (73 nucleotides) under Perkinsus olseni. Its description in RNAcentral is "tRNA-Val". It matches the Rfam family "tRNA". Rfam says of the family: Transfer RNA (tRNA) molecules are approximately 80 nucleotides in length. Their secondary structure includes four short double-helical elements and three loops (D, anti-codon, and T loops). Lineage: Eukaryota; Perkinsozoa; Perkinsida; Perkinsidae. The record is from RNAcentral.
GCCGGGAUAGUCUAGUGGUUAUGACGUCUGCCUCACACGCAGAAGGUCGCGAGUUCAAUCCUCGCUCCUGGUA